CCAUCGGACCUUAUUUGUCAGCUUGGAUCACGUGAUCCAUCCAGCUGCCGCGUGCGGCAAACAGCCCAAAUAGCGCUAACUCUGGCCUGCGAGCGUUUGCUGCGACUAGCGCGCUAGCGCUCGUGACAUACACAAACGCGCUAGCCAGAAUGCUUUGACUUUGAUGGCUUUCAGCUUCUAUUUUUUGAAAAGUAGCGCGCUCAGACCAGCUCGCUCACUCUUUUCCUCUUCCAUUUUUUAGGGCAAUUGUUUUGUUUGAUAGACGAAGCUUAGGGUCUCUUUGGGUUUGCAACCCUUACCCUCCUGGAAAAAAUCAUAGUUGUGCUAGACUGCGACACUUCAGACCAGGUACUAUUAGAGCCGCUAAUGGACGACGAGCUAUUUUCCGCUAUCCGGAGCUCAAGCAUUUGAGCCGCUAAAUGGACGAGACUCCUGAGGUAAAGGAUGCAGAGAAUGAGGAGAGAACACUCGUAUGGAGCAGGGAGUAGGUAGUGUACUACUUCCUGGUAUGGAGCACUGAGAAGCGCUUGGUGACAUCGUCCAAGAUCGACAGGGAUGGCGGGUCACCUGCCGUGACGCUGUCGACGCUAUUGUCCAGUCCCGCAUGGAGCCUGUGGCGAAGCCCCUCAUUUGUGGCACUUGUGCGCGCAGUUUUCGUCGGCCACAGGAUAUUGCGACGCACAAGUGUAACGCUGUUCGCGCGGCCCGCGCGCGCUGAGUAUGGCGUUCCCCGCCCGGUGGACAACACGUCUCCUGGUCUGCCCCGUAUGGGGCCACAUAGCCAGUCAUGGCAGUGGAAGAAGGAAGGAAGGAAGAGCCGCUCGCGACUCGAACCAUGGAGAUUGCCCAUGUGUCGUCUUUUCGUUACCUUGGAUCCAACAUACACAGCAACGGCCGAUGUCAUGAUGAUGUUACAUCCCGGAUCUCUGUCUUUUCUCCUUCUGUCUGUCUGUCUGUCUGUCUGUCUGUCUGUCUGUCUGUCUGUCUGUCUGUCUCUGUGUGUUUGUGUGUGUGUGUGUGUGUGUGUCUCUCUCCCUCUCUCUCUCUCUCUCUCCCUCUCUCUGUCUCUGUCUCUCUCUCUCUCUCUCUCUCUCUCUCUCUCUCUCUCUCUCUCUCUCUCUCUCUCUCUCUCUCUCUCUCUCUCUCUCUCUCUCUCU
Long non-coding RNA from Sycon ciliatum, 1157 nucleotides. RefSeq lists it as uncharacterized. The transcript is spliced from 3 exons. Lineage: Eukaryota; Metazoa; Porifera; Calcarea; Leucosolenida; Sycettidae. The record is from RefSeq and is a predicted model, not a curated record.